This 442-nucleotide ribosomal RNA is filed under the name uncultured bacterium. Its description in RNAcentral is "SSU rRNA". It matches the Rfam family "Bacterial small subunit ribosomal RNA", at positions 369 to 808 of the family's 1533-position model. The record is from RNAcentral.
GUAUGGGCGCAGGCCUGAACCAGCCNAGUAGCGUGAAGGAUGACUGCCCUAUGGGUUGUAAACUUCUUUUAUAAAGGAAUAAAGUCGGGUAUGUAUACCCGUUUGCAUGUACUUUAUGAAUAAGGAUCGGCUAACUCCGUGCCAGCAGCCGCGGUAAUACGGAGGAUCCGAGCGUUAUCCGGAUUUAUUGGGUUUAAAGGGAGCGUAGAUGGAUGUUUAAGUCAGUUGUGAAAGUUUGCGGCUCAACCGUAAAAUUGCAGUUGAUACUGGAUAUCUUGAGUGCAGUUGAGGCAGGCGGAAUUCGUGGUGUAGCGGUGAAAUGCUUAGAUAUCACGAAGAACUCCGAUUGCGAAGGCAGCCUGCUAAGCUGCAACUGACAUUGAGGCUCGAAAGUGUGGGUAUCAAACAGGAUUAGAUACCCUGGUAGUCCAAGGGCGAAUUC